RNAcentral lists this ribosomal RNA (468 nucleotides) under uncultured bacterium. RNAcentral describes it as "partial 16S ribosomal RNA". It matches the Rfam family "Bacterial small subunit ribosomal RNA", at positions 28 to 507 of the family's 1533-position model. The record is from RNAcentral.
GAUGAACGCUGGCGGCGUGCUUAACACAUGCCAGUCGAACGGUGAAGGCGGAGCUUGCUCUGCUGGAUUAGUGGCGAACGGGUGAGUAACACGUGAGCAAUCUGCCCCUGACUCUGGGAUAAGCGCUGGAAACGGCGUCUAAUACUGGAUACGAGCUGCGAAGGCAUCUUCAGCAGCUGGAAAGAAUUUCGGUCAGGGAUGAGCUCGCGGCCUAUCAGCUUGUUGGUGAGGUAAUGGCUCACCAAGGCGUCGACGGGUAGCCGGCCUGAGAGGGUGACCGGCCACACUGGGACUGAGACACGGCCCAGACUCCUACGGGAGGCAGCAGUGGGGAAUAUUGCACAAUGGGCGAAAGCCUGAUGCAGCAACGCCGCGUGAGGGACGACGGCCUUCGGGUUGUAAACCUCUUUUAGCAGGGAAGAAGCGAAAGUGACGGUACCUGCAGAAAAAGCGCCGGCUAACUACGUG